RNAcentral lists this ribosomal RNA (517 nucleotides) under uncultured beta proteobacterium. RNAcentral describes it as "bacterial SSU rRNA". It matches the Rfam family "Bacterial small subunit ribosomal RNA", at positions 9 to 523 of the family's 1533-position model. Lineage: Bacteria; Pseudomonadati; Pseudomonadota; Betaproteobacteria. The record is from RNAcentral.
GAGUUUGAUCAUGGCUCAGAUUGAACGCUGGCGGCAUGCUUUACACAUGCAAGUCGAACGGUAACAGGCCUUCGGGCGCUGACGAGUGGCGAACGGGUGAGUAAUGCAUCGGAACGUGCCCAGUCGUGGGGGAUAACGCAGCGAAAGCUGCGCUAAUACCGCAUACGAUCUGUGGAUGAAAGCGGGGGACCUUCGGGCCUCGCGCGAUUGGAGCGGCCGAUGUCAGAUUAGGUAGUUGGUGGGGUAAAGGCUCACCAAGCCGACGAUCUGUAGCUGGUCUGAGAGGACGACCAGCCACACUGGGACUGAGACACGGCCCAGACUCCUACGGGAGGCAGCAGUGGGGAAUUUUGGACAAUGGGGGCAACCCUGAUCCAGCAAUGCCGCGUGCAGGAAGAAGGCCUUCGGGUUGUAAACUGCUUUUGUACGGAACGAAAGGGCUCUGGCUAAUACCUGGAGCGGAUGACGGUACCGUAAGAAUAAGCACCGGCUAACUACGUGCCAGCAGCCGCGGUAC